RNAcentral lists this ribosomal RNA (301 nucleotides) under uncultured bacterium. RNAcentral's name for it is "partial 16S ribosomal RNA". It matches the Rfam family "Bacterial small subunit ribosomal RNA", at positions 509 to 807 of the family's 1533-position model. The record is from RNAcentral.
CAGCCGCCGCGGUAAUACGUAGGUGGCAAGCGUUGUCCGGAAUUAUUGGGCGUAAAGGGCUCGCAGGCGGUUUCUUAAGUCUGAUGUGAAAGCCCCCGGCUCAACCCGGGAGGGUCAUUGGAAACUGGGAAACUUGAGUGCAGAAGAGGAGAGUGGAAUUCCACGUGUAGCGGUGAAAUGCGUAGAGAUGUGGAGGAACACCAGUGGCGAAGGCGACUCUCUGGUCUGUAACUGACGCUGAGGAGCGAAAGCGUGGGGAGCGAACAGGAUUAGAUACCCCUGUAGUCCCUGUCUCUUAUAC